UUAUCCCUUGAUCCAGCGGUUGCUUGGGUGUAAAUAGUUUGAGGUUUUAUUAUGUUUGCUGGGCUCUUCUCUCUCUCAGUCCUCCUGCUCGAUCUCCUCUUCCCACCCUUCACUAAAGAGACUUCACCUGAAUUGUGACGGACGGAGAGGAAGAAAUGGUAGAGGCGGCGCGGUUUUACAAACAGUUUUAUGUUCGAGGUCUGCCCCGUUCCUUCAGCUCACAACAAUGGAUUUGGUUUGAAUUCAGCUUUUUAUUUGAGGAGGGAGGAAAGCUGGGACUAAUGUUCAUGGGAGUGGUUUUGUAGACAUUUCGGAAGCAGUUGAUAGUGUAUGCAGAGUAUAAAAGCAAGUGUGUUGUGUUGCUGCAGCUGUUUAGAUCAUUUGACUGGCACGGUGAGUUUGAUUUGCUGUGGUUUGUUAUGGGCAUUCAUUAGGGAGUUUGGUUUUGUUUCAGAUUGCUUAUUGAUGAAGAAAAUAUGUUUUGAUAUUUUGCUCAUGGAAGAAUAGGAAGAAUUAAUAGCAGAAUCAGAGACGUGAGAUAGAAUUUCAGGACAAACCGAUCCCGGUUGCAAAGGUGAGGACGACUCAUGGAAGUUGUUCAUCAGAAUGUCACUGAUACUUAUUUGAUGAUACUGGAGGAACAGCCGGGUACAGGCCAAAAUCACUAGAUAUGAAACCGUUGAGUUUGUGAUCCAGUGGAUAAUAAUGGACUGCUGAACACAAUAGGUAGUGAAAUAAUAGCGGAAAUUGGAAUCUUGGAGUAACAAUUUGAUACUGGUUGUGAAGGGCGUAGGUCAUUUGUUUAUGAAUUGAAGGUUUGUAAUUGUAUUUAUAAGUUAAUUUAAAAUUGAUAAAUGUAUAUAUUAAAAUACUAUUUGUUUCUGUUCGUCAACUUUUCUCCUCCAUUUUUCCCUUUUAGAAGUUUAGAUUACAUAGCCUAUUGAAAGUUUCUAAUAUUCAUAUGUUGGCAGGUUUCAUGUGGGUGCGUCAAAGACAACCCUCCCCUAGAAAAGGUUAGAAUGCAUAGAUUAGUGAAGUUAUAUUCAUGUCAGGUUUUUUUUUUCGGUAAAAAUUUGGUAAACAAUAGUAUUAUGGGUCAAUUAACAUAAGAAAAAUAAAAUUGACUUAUAAGAAAGAUGCGCAUGACUCUCUGGAUUUAGAGAGAGUUAAAAUGUGGAGUGCAAAUGACUAUCACCUUUAAAGUGUUCGAUGAAAUGCUGCUAAGAUUUUCUUAUAAGACCAAGGACGAAAUAGUAAAGGAUAUAGUACGCCUUUAGCAUCCCCCACCUACUGCUCCAAGAGUAGAGACAUUGGAUAUAUAGUAGAGAAUAAGUGAAUAAGGUCAGGUAUAUAAAUAUAUGUAUAUCAAAAUACUGUAUGAGAAGUGUUCAACAAAUUGCUAUUGGGAAUUUCUAGCCCAGUAUGAAUACGUAAAGGUGUUCGAUGAAAUGCAAUUGACAUUUUUGGAACAAAUCUGACAACAAAACAAUGGCAGGUGAAAUACCACUUUGACAUAAAAUCAAACGUGAGAAGAACCUAAAAAAGAUGAAAUUAAAGAACUGAUAAUUCAGGUUUUGUGUUCUUAAGAACUACAAAUGGAGCUUAUCCAAGCUUUCUUUUAUUUUUGCUUUCAAUAUUAAUUUUCACUAAGGUACUGAAAUGUAAAUAUGUUUCUCCUUUUUUCUGAUGAACUCUGAAUUUCAGAGGGAUGAUUUCUGUGAGGUAUUUGAAAUGGAAAUGGUCAAUAUUUUUUGUCACUUGAAUGGUAGUUAUAUGAAUGAUAAGAGCUUGAUAUUGUUUGUUUCGUUAAGCUUCUGCAAAUACUCUACUUCAAGGUGUGUAUUAUUCCCUGAGUUAGGCAUCAUCAGAUUGGUUGUUCGAAUGGUAACUUUUUGUAUUUUUUGUAAUGUGUUUGCAACUUGAGGUAUUUUUUCUUGCAUCUAUUAAACGAUCAUCCAUUUUAAUUUUGUUAUGCUCUUAUUGGCUCUUAAGUAUGGAGAUGAUUCUCUAAUUUUAUGGCUGACAUUGAAAAUUCUCUACAAGCACGGGAAUUCUGUUUCUGUUUCAUUCAGGUGAGGAGAAUCUUAUAGUUUCAGUAUCUAUAUAUGUAUGUGCCUAUGUGGGUAUAGAUAUAAUUGAGCUUCUAAUGAAGCAGAGAUUGGAUUUCUUUUUGUUUGGUUGUAAUUGAUACCGUGUAGUGCAAUUUUCUUUUUGCCCUUAUUUAUUUUAUUUCUACUAGAAUUGUUGCUGAGUUGUUAGUUGGAAAUUCAUACUCUUGAUUCGUAACUUAAUGACAGUACUGUGAUACGAUCCAAAUAGAUAGGUUUGUCAUAGUCGAAGAUAAAUUGCAUUUGCCAAACACAUGAAUGCAUGAUAGGAGUUAACUUGGUAAGUGUUUAUGAGUUACAAAUUCUUAGUGAAAAUGAACCUUAGAUAUUAUGAAAGCUUGAAUCAAUGAAACUAUAUUCUGGAACCAUUUUCAUUUACAUCUAGCAUGCCCGAGAAAGAAUUAGGUGAGUUCCCAUCUUGGACAUUAUGAAAUUGACACCUUUAUAAUGAAUUCCCUAUGUGACAAUCUGAUUAUGAUGUGUUUGCUAUUGGCAGAUAUGCUAACAGUUUCACCUCAUCGGUUUUCACUUUUACGGUCUGGAUCUAGCUCUUGCAAGUAGGCCAACAACUACAAGAAUAAGUCAAUCAAGUACCCCAAAUUCAAAUAGACCAACGACACCAACCAACUCUCACUAAUGCAAGACGGCGGCAAUGGUCAGUGAAAUAUGACAUGUUAUACGCUUACUUGGAUGAACACUGGGAGAAUGGUUUGCGGAACCUGUUAAAUUGGAAAUAUGUCAGUGGUCAAAAGGAAAGAUACAUCAGGUUUGUUCUUUUCUUUUAUUUCUUUUCUAUGGGUGAUUUUCUUGCAUUAUAAGAUGAUCAUUUGAUUGGAAUAACAAUCAAUAAUAUUAAAUUUAAGAUAGAUUAUUGUUGUAGCAGAGGCGUAUAUCAACGAUUUAUCGUUGCUCGAUGGAACACCAGUUGUAUAAGUAAAUACUUAUUGGAUAUUGAAAAUUGGAAAUUGGAAAGUAGCAAUAUCGAUUUACACUUCAAAUUUACUCUAUGUGUUGCUAAUCUAUUGAUUACAUUUGGAGGUUUAUGCAUGUUUAGUUUGUACAAACAUGACCAGCGAUUAUUGGAUAUACUUCUUUUCACAUUGAUCUAUAUUCAGGUUUUGUUGUCAAAAAAAAAAAGCAAACCAUAUUGCAGGAGUUAAGGCUUGGGUCAACCUCGACGGUGGACAAGCAGAAGCUCAGUCAAGUAAGAUUGAGCUGCAAAGAAUCAUAAGAACUAAGGUUUGCAGAAAAACAAGAAGCAUAGCAGCGAACUCAUUGUGAUUGCCAAAUUAUAGCUACGAUGAAUUAAUGAUACCAGCCUUUUAUUUUUUUUCUUUUGUUUUUGUCUGUAAUCAUCUACAAAUUUGCCCUCUCCUCAUUCUGAUCAUCAUUCUGGUUUUUGUUUAUCUUCUUUGCUAAGAAUAUCGUUUGAUUGUGCCUCUAUAAUACAUGAAUAUCAUGAAGUUGAAUGCUUUGUCUCUAAAAGUUUCGGUUAUGAUCUAUCUUUUGAGACUAAAACCACAAUAAAACGAAUGGGGAGUAACAAAAACAAAGAUCACUAUAUUACUUACUAAUAGCUUGAAUCUUUUAAGUUGAAUACUGCAAUUUGUAGUUUGGUGUUAAGGAUCUAGGUAUUUGGAUUUUAAUUCUUUUUUUCCCUUAGUAAUCGUUUUUUAGUUUAAUUGAGAUGUCUAAUAACAAAAAGUCUUUGGCCUCAUAUAAUGGGUGGUGUUUUGAGGGGAGGAUGUGUCGUAGAAGAAGGCAAAAGAGCUAUUGCAAAUCGAUUUUUCAUUAACAUUUUCAUUAGCAUGGGUGCUGCUACUUUAAAAGAUUGAUGCAUCACAUCUAAAAGAUUGAUGUAGUUAUUGCUCCAUAAGACUUGAGACAUACAUUAUUCAAAUUUUUAUUUUCUCUUGAUGCUUCUUUCUUGGUUUUGAUCAAGG
Molecule: long non-coding RNA, 4051 nt
Organism: Argentina anserina (silverweed cinquefoil)
Lineage: Eukaryota; Viridiplantae; Streptophyta; Magnoliopsida; Rosales; Rosaceae
Exons: 13
Source: RefSeq, a predicted model, not a curated record